AGCUGGUCUGAUGGUAGUGGGUUAUCAGAAUGUAUUAACAAUAGUGUCACAAAAGUUGGUAUACAACCCCCACUGCUAAAUUCAACUGGCUAGAA
This 95-nucleotide Y RNA is filed under the name Aotus nancymaae (Ma's night monkey). RNAcentral's name for it is "Y RNA (ENSANAG00000012432.1)". It matches the Rfam family "Y RNA". Rfam says of the family: Y RNAs are components of the Ro ribonucleoprotein particle (Ro RNP), in association with Ro60 and La proteins. The record is from Rfam by way of RNAcentral. Lineage: Eukaryota; Metazoa; Chordata; Mammalia; Primates; Aotidae.